RNAcentral lists this transfer-messenger RNA (129 nucleotides) under Bacteroidia bacterium. RNAcentral describes it as "partial transfer-messenger RNA". It matches the Rfam family "transfer-messenger RNA", at positions 223 to 354 of the family's 374-position model. Rfam says of the family: Bacterial tmRNA, also known as 10Sa RNA or SsrA, is named for its dual tRNA and mRNA-like properties. Its role is to liberate the mRNA from a stalled ribosome. The record is from RNAcentral. Lineage: Bacteria; Pseudomonadati; Bacteroidota; Bacteroidia.
UAGCAUCUAAGUUUGAGUUUGGUUUGAAUUUAUGCCUGGCUUGAAUCGAAAAUUAAAUAAGUUCUAAACGUGUAGAAAGCUUAGCAAUUCCUUAUUUGGACCAGGGUUCGACUCCCUGCGGGUCCACAU